CUCAUUCCAUCUUAUUUGCUAACACUUGGUUUUGUGGUAGAUGUGAUUUGGGGCUUGUUCUUCAAAAGAUUUUCAAAUUUUGGCUUCUGUGUUUGCCUGAAUCUUUGAAAUAGCCCAUGAAAUGUUGUGACAUUGGAACAGUUUUCAUUUUUUUCCAUGUCUCCAAAACACUAGAAUAGUAAAGCAUGAUUAGAUUUGUUAAUGUGGCUAAUAGUUGAACCAAAAAUUUGCAUUACAUUGCCAACAAUAAGCACAAUGUAACUGGCAUAAUGCUGAUUGGCAGCUGCUUUCAUUUUAUUACAUUUUAAAAAACAAUCAUCUUAUAUAUACUACAAAUGUUCCUUUUCACUUCCACAUUCAAACAUGUUUUAAAAGUUUGCAUUUGAUACAGAAUGUGAUGUAUUUACAUUCUUAUCAUGUGUACAUUGCUCAUCCAUUGUCUCCAUAAUUUGCCUCUUUCAUCCAUCAUCCAUCUUACUGACCAAUGACCAUAAAUGACUUCACCUGCCUGCUGAUGACCUUUCACCCUGCAUUGUGAACGUACUUCUGAUGACAUCCUCGCCAUUCCUUAAUCCUCGCCAUCACAGAGGGUAAAUCAGUGGACCUGUCAAUUCAUUAAAUAGAAGUAACUUGCACUCUUUAUUGGGUAGCUUUAAACUGUUGUGAAGUACAGAAUAUAUUUCUGCCUUGUAAUUGAUGGUAUAAUAAUGAAUGAAGCCUAUUGGCAACCAGCAGUAUUGUGCACGUUUCUAGCCACCAAAUUCUUUUUGUCAUUAAUUUGUCCUGGUUUUUUUUUGCCCUUUCUUCUACCUCUCCACUUUCUGUAGGGGAGCCAGACAGGCCUGUACUGUCUUCUACUGAUGGCAAGUUAGAGGGAAACUCCUACUCCAUCCCAAUCAAACAGCUGGACGAUGGAGGACAGCCCAUUCAACAUUUCUUAGUGCGCUACAGGAUGGAAAAGGAGGGUGAGAACUGGAUAGAAAAGGAAAUGCCUGCUAACUCCACCAAGAUUCAGCUACAGGAUCUGCAGUACAACUCAGACUACCAGAUGGAGGUCUUCGCAUUUAACAUUAAUGGCUCUUCUGGGCCAGCCAAACUCAAUUUCACCAUUCCACAGGCUGUGAGUAAACCUAGCUUGGGUAAAGGUGGAGUGGCUGGAAUUGUCAUAGUUGUCUUCCUGGUGUUGCUGGUGGCGGUGGAUGCAUUCUGUUGCUAUACAAACCACUGUGGCCUGCUCAACUUCCUGGCCAGAAAACUGUUUGGCCACAAGAUGUCUGAGGCUAAGAGCUUGGAGGAAGGUGUGAUCAACAAUGCUGCUGUAGACAUGAAUGGGCUAGAGAAACCGAGGGGUAGCAUCCCAAAACUACAGGCACAAAAGGGGGAGACGAACGGGGUACAUUCAGAGGUCACGUGCGACAAAGCUCCCCUCACCAAAUUCGAGAAACCACCUGCCAAUGGUGACUCAUCCAACGAAGCGCGACUUUGAAGGCUUUACUUCAUUGUAUUUUUAGAGGAAACACAACUCAAAACUCAAAAUAAUGGCCCAAGGAACAUAGGUUUCUGGAAAACCGAUGCUAAGGUGUAGCUCAAGAAUGUAAGAGGGAUUUGUCUGUAUAAUAGCAAAUAAUCUUGAGACGGAGAUGGUUAACCACAGGUGUUGAAAUACACACAGUUGGUGCAGAUAAGGAAGGCGCUGUUAGGUCAGAUCCAAAUAUAGGAUUAAAAUGGAGAGUGAAUUUAAGUAAGCAGCUAACUGUUUCUACAGUACCUAAUUAAUAAUAUUGUUCACUGUUAAAGCAAUAAUGCAUAAUGACCCUUCACUAAGCCCCACCCCUUUGCUUCAUCUGACAAGCUUUCAAAUUUGUUAACUUACAUUUACAGCAUUUACAUUGACGCUCUUAUCCAGAGCGACUUACAAUUUGAUUAUUUUUACAUAGGUAGGCCAAGGCAGUGUUAGGAGUCUUGCCCAAGGACUCUUAUUGGUAUAGUGUAGGGUGUUUGCCCAGGUGGGGAUUGAACCCCAGUCAACAGUGUAGAAGGCAGAGGUGUUAACCACUACACUAUCCCAACCUUGCAGGGAUAGACUAUUAACCUCUGAAUUUUUCAACAAUAAUUAGAUGAAAAUAUAUCCAAAAUAUUAGCGAGGAGUACACAAAAAGGUCUCCUAUAGAAAGGCUACAUAGAUGCAGAUCAGUUUAGAUGACUUGAAUCAUCUACGCCUACAUACAAGACAGAUCAAUUGACGACAACAUGUAUUUUAAAGAUAAUGUAUUGUGUUUGCCCUGGCGCUCUCUACGUGCUCAGAGCUGUUGCUAAAUAUUAAUUUAUUUUCAUUAUUUGAAGUGUAUAUUGAAUUAACCAUUGUUUGCACCAUUUUUGGACCCAUUGUAGCCUCUUAAACUCCUUGGGACCUCCGGUGGUUCCAAAACGCACUUCGUCAUGUUCUUCAUAACUUUCAUAUUUCAUAAGCUACAUUCAGAAGCUGAGCGUCGUGUGAGGCUGUAACUCUUCUCUCCAGUCUAAUAGACGGUGAUGUCAUUUUAAACCCUUAUAAUAAAAGAAGCUGAACUUUUCCAAAAAAAAAACAAAAAAAAAAGAAUAAAUAAGUAAAUAAAAUAAAAAUUUACAUUUAUUUCAUGCAGUUACUUGGUUCUGUAAAUUCAGAUAAAAGAACCAAAAUAUACCCUGGAGCAUAAGAGGUUAAAGUUCUGAAAGCUUGUCAGAGAUGCCCACACCACCUAGUUACCGUUUCGAAGCUGUGAUUGGAUGAUGAUAUUAAGGGGAGGGGUUUGAUGCUCGCUCAGAGGCCGUACAUUACGCUGCUUUUCUCUGAUAUGCUGUACAUACUGCAUGUAGUUUUACAAGAACUACAAUUAGGCUUUGUGAAUUUCAGCAUGCUGUAUUGUGAAAGCAGUUAUUAUGGGAGUAUACUAAUUCACAUGUAUUAUUACUGCUAAUUUAUUGUAAAUUUAAUAUAUCCUUAUAUUAUUAACAGCAACAAGUCUUGAAUGUUUUGCUGUUUUAUUGUUUUUUUUUUAGCUUCAACUGUUGAAGAACAUGUCUGUAUUUGAAACUGCUGACAUUGCUUUUUAUUGUUCAUUUCUGGCUGAUGGCAGAUUGUUAAUAGCAACUUACAAUUGGAUGUACAAACGUAUUUGUAUAAUUCAUGCUUCAGACUGCACUGUAUAUUUUUGUACAUACAUAUAUUGUCAGUUUUUACACUCUGUAACAUAUUUUACAAAAACAUUGUGAUCUGUGUGAAAUUUAUAAAUUUACAAUUAUG
Long non-coding RNA from Pygocentrus nattereri (red-bellied piranha), 3283 nucleotides. NCBI's taxonomy places the organism in Eukaryota, Metazoa, Chordata, Actinopteri, Characiformes, Serrasalmidae. The record is from Ensembl.